RNAcentral lists this transfer RNA (72 nucleotides) under Channa lucius. RNAcentral's name for it is "tRNA-Val". It matches the Rfam family "tRNA". From Rfam's summary of the family: Transfer RNA (tRNA) molecules are approximately 80 nucleotides in length. The record is from RNAcentral. Lineage: Eukaryota; Metazoa; Chordata; Actinopteri; Anabantiformes; Channidae.
CAGAACGUGGCCAAGACAGAAAAGCAUCUCUCUUACACAGAGAAGUCAUCCGUGCAAAUCGGAUCGUCCUGA